Molecule: long non-coding RNA, 2572 nt
Organism: Portunus trituberculatus (swimming crab)
Lineage: Eukaryota; Metazoa; Arthropoda; Malacostraca; Decapoda; Portunidae
Exons: 2
Source: RefSeq, a predicted model, not a curated record
GAGAGAGAGAGAGAGAGAGAGAGAGAGAGAGAGAGAGAGAGAGAGAGAGAUGAAAUGCAGCUGUUUUAAUGGCAGUGUUAAUCAUGACUGGUGCUAUAGGCUGAGGGAGCGGAGUGGCAAGGUGAAUGGGAUAUGAUGUUGUGCCUUGCCUCAGUACCUCAGCUUGGGAAAGGUUAUUUGAUUAGUGCUCCGCUACCUCCGCGCUAACCAGGUGUGCUGUUAUUGUUAUACUGUGUGCCUUAGUAUAGAGUGUUUCUACUUAUAAGGGAGAGCGGUCAGGGGGUAGAAAUAGUUUACAGAUAUAUGAAAGAAAGAUGAAUAGAAUUGUGUAGUUUAUAUGCUCGUAUUGGCAAAAGGAAGUGUGUGAUUUUUUGUAAAUGUGUUUUUUUUUUUUAAUACUAUAAAGGCUUUUCACGGGAAUUUAUGGGGUGAAGGAGGUACCUUUUGUGAUCCCUCCUAUCUCAGUGUCCACCCGCUAGGGAACCGUUGCCCCGAGUAAGGAAGCCCAACCUACACUCGGAUCGUGGACUGGAUUCGAACGUGUGCGCUUGGAGACCCCUCGGACCCCAAAGCACGCAUGGUUCCACUGUACCACGGCGGACCCAUAUUUGUCUAUUUGUUUUCCUAACACUUGUCUUGGUCUGUUUUAUUUUAUUUUAUUUAUUUAUUUAUUUAUUUGUUUAUUUCUAUGUGUAUCUUUUGAUGAGGAAUGUUCCGAGUGGUAUUCCUCAUGUGUAAUUUAGUGUAUUCGUGUUUGGGAGUUUAGCUGGAAAAAAUAAUUAAUAUCUUUAUAUGUUCAUAUAUACAUCAAUAUUGCUUUAGUUCAUUGAUCGAUUCAUUUUCUGCCUGUCAUUCAGUCUUCACUUACUUAUUUCGCGUAUGGAGAGAAUUAAGAGCAGCCAAAAAGAAAGGAAGAAAAUAUUCCUCAAAUCUUUCCAAAAAAUUAAAAUACAUAAGUAAAAAAAAAAAAAAAAAACUAGUAACAUUACUUUACAAACCUUCCAUAUGUUUACAAUGACAGAUACUUACAUUUAUUGAUAUAUUUACGUUUAUGCACAUUAAUCGUCUUCAUAAAGAGGACAAAACGGUGGGUGCCAGGUGGAGGAAGAGGAGGAAUAGGAGGAGGAGGAAGAGGAGGAGAGGGAUACAUGAAGUUAAGGUUGAUCGCGCCUCGCCAAGAGAUUGAAAGUUAGUCGGUCCGUGAUGGAGGUGAGAUGAGCGUUGGAGAGAGAGAGAGAGAGAGAGAGAGAGAGAGAGAGAGAGAGAGAGAGAGAGAGAGAGAGAGAGAGAGAGAGAGAGAGAGAGUCGAGUCAUUCACUCUAAGAGGCCAUUGUCCUUACGAGGAGGAAAGAAACAAAGAAAGACACUCGUUUUUACUUUUCCAUAUCAUCGUGUGUGUGUGUGUGUGUGUGUGUGUGUGUGUGUGUGUGUGUGUGUGUGUGUGUAAGGAAGAGUGUUUACGUUCAUAUAUUAUCGGAAUAUGAGAGAGAGAGAGAGAGAGAGAGAGAGAGAGAGAGAGAGAGAGAGAGAGAGAGAGAAUUGCCAAAAAGUGACAUUAAAUGAAAUAGUGAUAUAUGAUUAUAGUAAAUGGGAGGAAAUUAUGAACAACGAUUAAUGAUUGGGGAAAACUAGCUGCCACGCGCGUACACACACACACACACACACACACACACACACACACACACACACACACACACACACACACACACACACACACACACACACACACACACACACACACACACCGUAAAUUUCUAGUCAGGUGGUGGAGACAUGUUGCAUCAGAGAGAAGACCAGGAAGAAGAGGAGGAGGUGAGGGUGGAGGUGUGGAGGGGGUGAGUGGGAGAAUAUAAUAAUUUAUAGGACGCACCUGUACAACCUAUCAUUAUCUCCACUCACCUGUGCCCAAUGAAGUUGUUUAGUGUGCAGGUAACAUGGCUUAACUAGUAAAGAUUCGUAUGUGUGUGUGUUUGUUUUGAGUUAGAUCGCCAUGUUUUUUUUAUUCGCUACAAUUGGGAAUAUACGUGCAUUAAAGAUUCAAGUAACAUUAAAAGUUUAACAUGUUGUGUGUGUGUGUGUGUGUGUGUGUGUGUGUGUGUGUGUGUGUGUGUGUGUUUUAAUGGUUUUCCUUACCUGAAUUGAAAUAAAAACCUGAUUCAGACUUGAUUUUCUAUUUUGAUUAGUACGCAAUGUUAGUUCUAAAAUCAUGAGUAUGUACAUUUUCUAAGGCAAUAAAUUUGGUAAUCUCAGUAAAAAGGGAAAAAAAAACCUCGAAUGCAUGUCAAGUUAUAAAACUGUUAUGACUUUCAUUGAUUUGUCAUGAGAGACGGCUGGCGCUGGCUGUGUGUCGGAAGAAAAGGCGCAUGCACGUCAUUGUUAUGCUGAUGUCAUGUCUUUCUUUACACUCUUUUUUUUUUUUUUUUUUUUUUUAAUUGCCGUCAUGUUAAAUGUUAGCCAAGGAUUGCGUCACUGUUUCCUGCCUCACUCACUGCUUCAAAUGAGUGUUAUGGAUGUUGAUUUUAAAAUAUUCUGUAUGAUUUCAGUGUAAGUUCAAUAAAUAUAUAUCUACGUA